GGCGCUAUAGCCAAGUGGUUACGGCGACAGAUUCGAAUUACGAUGCUUAUGUAAGCGUCACGUGAUCUGUUUCACUUUGUGAGCGCAGGUUCAAAUCCUGCUGGCGUCG
RNAcentral lists this transfer RNA (109 nucleotides) under Hydnomerulius pinastri MD-312. It matches the Rfam family "tRNA". From Rfam's summary of the family: Transfer RNA (tRNA) molecules are approximately 80 nucleotides in length. Their secondary structure includes four short double-helical elements and three loops (D, anti-codon, and T loops). Lineage: Eukaryota; Fungi; Basidiomycota; Agaricomycetes; Boletales. The record is from Rfam by way of RNAcentral.